AUGUCCUUUAUUUGCUCCCAUUUGCUAAGAAAAUUGUUUUCUGUGGUUCCUCUAGAUUGGAUGUGGGGCUACCAGGCCAUGGGGAGCACACACAUGGAUAACAUGGAUAUUACCAGAUGCCAAGAGUCUGCAAAACAGCCAGUGAAGCUCCCCAGAGAGAGAGAAUAAAAACUCCCCUUUUCUGCCAGUUCUAUUUUCACAACAGGAAUUUCUUGAGGUCCCAGAAAAGCAAGGCGGAGGGAGCUGGGCAGGAAACAAAGAACAGUAAGUACUGUUAGUUCCACUUAUCUGUUGCAUGCUAGAGGAAGGCACUGAGUACGGAUGGCUAGGAUUCUUUGCAGACCCUUUAUCUUCACAGUCAGAGACAUACAG
RNAcentral lists this long non-coding RNA (372 nucleotides) under Macaca mulatta (Rhesus monkey). RNAcentral describes it as "lncRNA (ENSMMUG00000063603.1)". The record is from RNAcentral. Lineage: Eukaryota; Metazoa; Chordata; Mammalia; Primates; Cercopithecidae.